Molecule: long non-coding RNA, 586 nt
Organism: Calypte anna (Anna's hummingbird)
Lineage: Eukaryota; Metazoa; Chordata; Aves; Apodiformes; Trochilidae
Exons: 2
Source: RefSeq, a predicted model, not a curated record
UUCUCACUCACCCAGCAUGAGAUGCUGGGGGAGGAUCAGAACAGUAAAAGUGGCUUGAGAAAACCCUGGGGCUGAGAUAAAGACAGUUUAACAGGUGUUAGAGUGUUUAUUGAGAAGAAGGCACAACUGACACUUCUAGGAACUGAAAUGGACUAUGUAGAAGACAAACUGUCCAGUGAAUUUGUCUUCAAUAAUCCAAACAUCAAAGGAACAUGUGGGUGUGGAGAAAGCUUUAACAUCUGAAAUGUUAAAGGACUAAAUGUUAAAUGUUAAAGGGUGUGGAGAAAGCUUUAACAUCUGAAAUGUAAAAGGACUGUUAUUUUGAACCCCCCAAAACACUAUGAUGGGUUUUGGAAACAAAUGCAUUUUCUUCAGGUCCAUAGCCUGCUUAAACUGGGGAUAUCAUUAAGAAAAAUAAAGCUAGAAAUAAUUUUGAAAGUGAAAAUUAUGUGUUCAAUACUACCACUAGUGCAGUUACGCUGUAAUUUGUGAAGAGUUGAAGUCGAAAAGGUAAGAACAGUAAAGUGCUCUAGUAACAUCUCUGUACUUUCACAUGGUAAGGAAAUAAAAUCUCGCUGUACUUUUA